RNAcentral lists this ribosomal RNA (772 nucleotides) under uncultured Neocallimastigales. RNAcentral describes it as "partial large subunit ribosomal RNA". It matches the Rfam family "Eukaryotic large subunit ribosomal RNA", at positions 22 to 635 of the family's 3401-position model. The record is from RNAcentral. Lineage: Eukaryota; Fungi; Neocallimastigomycota; Neocallimastigomycetes; Neocallimastigales.
GUACACGCUGUGACUAGCAUAUCAAUAAGCGGAGGAAAAGAAACUAACAAGGAUUCCUUAGUAACGGCGAGUGAAGCGGGAAGAGCUCAAAUUUGAAAUCUUCAAGGUUCUACCUUGACGAAUUGUAGUUUAAAGAAGUGUUUUCUGCUGAAGUUUUGGUAAAAGUUCUUUGGAAUAGGACAUCAUAGAGGGUGAGAAUCCCGUAUUUGACCAUUAUUUUCAGCUUUGUGAUACACUUUCAAAGAGUCGGAUUGUUUGGGAAUGCAGUCCAAAAUGGGUGGUAAAUUUCAUCUAAAGCUAAAUAUUGGCGAGAGACCGAUAGCGAACAAGUACCGUGAGGGAAAGAUGAAAAGAACUUUGAAAAGAGAGUUAAACAGUACGUGAAAUUGUUCAAAAGGGAAGCGUUUGACACCAGUGUUGUUUUCUCGAAAAUCAAUUAAAAAUGGCUCGAUUUGUAUUGCUGAGACCUUAAAAGCUCACUGUACAUUUUUCGUGUCUUUUUUAAUGCACUUUUCGUUUAACAAGUCAACAUCAGUUUCUUUGUUGUAAAAGGGUCAUUGGAAGGUGGCUUUCUUUUCGGAGAAAGUGUUUAUAGCCUUUGGCCUCUGCAAUCGAAGAGACUGAGGUCUGCAGCGUAGACUCUUCGGGGUUAGAUACAUUUGUGCUAAGUUAUAGCUUUUUAUAGACAACUUGUUGACUAUAAUUAGUCUUGUAGCUUACUCGCUUAUGCUAUUUUACCUACGCUUAGGAUGUUGAUCUACAGAGCGAGAGU